CGCGUAGGCGGUCCAGUUAGUCGGAUGUGAAAGCCCUGGGCUCAACCCAGGAAGUGCAUCCGAAACUGCUGGACUUGAGUACGGGAGAGGGAAGUGGAAUUCCUGGUGUAGGGGUGAAAUCCGUAGAUAUCAGGAGGAACACCGGUGGCGAAGGCGACUUCCUGGACCGAUACUGACGCUGAGGCGCGAAAGCGUGGGGAGCAAACAGGAUUAGAUACCCUGGUAGUCCACGCCGUAAACGGUGGGCACUAGGUGUAGCGGGUAUUGACCCCCGCUGUGCCGUAGCUAACGCAUUAAGUCGCCCCGCCUGGGGAUUACGGCCGCAAGGUUGAA
Molecule: ribosomal RNA, 333 nt
Filed under: uncultured bacterium
Lineage: Bacteria
Description: bacterial SSU rRNA
Rfam family: Bacterial small subunit ribosomal RNA
Source: RNAcentral